This 404-nucleotide long non-coding RNA is filed under the name Mytilus galloprovincialis (Mediterranean mussel). Lineage: Eukaryota; Metazoa; Mollusca; Bivalvia; Mytilida; Mytilidae. The record is from RNAcentral.
UGUUCGUACCUCAUUGGAAAAUCGGUGUAGUUGGCAAGAUGCAAGUCCAAAAUAUUUAAUUUUGUGAUAUCAUAUUCAUUGCUAUUGUACGCAUUUGAAAAAAAAUGUUUUUUUAAAAUAAAAAAGAAAAAAAUAAUUGUUGAAACAAUGUUUUAUGCUGCAUGCGACAAGCUUCAGUUUUAAAAACGGCUAUUUUUUAGGCUGUCCCGCGUAACAUAUUUCAUUUAUUGUAACCACUAAACUGUGAUUUUCGUCUAAAGUAUUUAAUAUUUUGAAAAACGGUUUUUUCCAUUAUUUUACACAAAGGUUCCUUCAGUUUUUUAUGCAUUUUUUAUGACGUUAUGAUGACGUCAUAGAAAAAAUAAAGUGUUCCAUACAACAAGGGCAAAUCUGUCCCACGGGGA